CCGGACGCCUGCCGGCGCAUGCGCGGCCGCGGAUAGCACGGAGGACAGGGCUGGCGACCGCCUCCCUCGCCGCUGAGUGGCGGCCGGGUCACGUGGUGCAGGGGGAGGGCCCGGGCUGGUGCUGCUGCUGCCGCCGCCGCUGCGCGCGCCGGAGAACAAUUUCCAAAACUUGUAUGGUUUUGAAUUUGAACAAAAGACUAGACAUCGAAAUAAUCUUCACGUUUUUUUGAAUAAGAAGUAAUAAUGCAACGAAGGCAGGGAAGAGUCAAUGCUGGACUGCUUCUGCUGCUUUAUCAAAUUUCUCAAGUUGGGCUCCAGAAUAUUCCUUCUGUUACCCUUGGGGUACUUGCACUGAACAUUUUUCUCUUUCUGAAUCCUGUGAGGCCACUGCCUGAAGUGUGUAUCAGUGUAAAUGAAGGCUUCUACAGAAAGAACUGGCAGCGUUUACUGCUUUCUCCUGUCCACCAUGCAGAUGACUGGCAUUUAUAUUAUAACAUGAUUUCCAUGCUUUGGAAGGGGAUAAUGCUGGAAAAAAAGCUUAAGAGCAUAUGGUUUGCAUACAUAAUUGCAGUAUUUUCAGUGCUGAUUGGAGUUGUUUAUAUGGUGCUGGAAUUCAUGCUUAUGGAAAUUCUGGAUGAUCCUUCAUAUGAAAUGAAUUGUGCCGUAGGUUUUUCAGGAGUCUUGUUUGCUUUGAAAGUUCUUAACAACCAUUACAAUCCAGGAAGAGUCAGCAGUGUCCUUGGAUUACAGAUACCCAGUAAAUAUGCUUGUUGGGUAGAGCUGGUGGCUAUUCAUUUAAUCUCCCCAGGGACUUCUUUUGCUGGGCAUCUGGCAGGGAUUCUUGUUGGAUUGAUGUACACUAUGGGACCUCUGAAAAAGAUCAUGAAAGCCUGUGCAGGUGGCAUUUCUUCAUUCACUGACCCUGCCAGGCCAAGGGACUACUAUUCAGAGUAUUAUGGCUAUCCAAGUUAUCAAUACAGAACGCCAAGGAGUUAUUAUGAUUAUACAGGUGGGCUUACUGAAGAAGAACAGCUUGAAAGGGCAGUGCUAAACAGUCUUAAUGAAAGAGGUAUGGUUCCCUUGGUAUUCCUGACUUGAUUCAACCCUCCGAGCUCACCUUGUUACCUGUUUAUUAUGGCAGUGGACUCCAAUAGUUCCUGACAGGGGGGCUGAUGCAAACUGCAAUUCGGGCAUCACAGUUGUUAGCCAGAAACUGUAUUCAUUAGCAAAAAAUUGACAUGUUCCCCGCUGACCCUGGCAUUCAAUGAAUGGUGCUGAUCUGAAGUCUUCUAGGCAACUUCCAGGUGACAUAAGGGACUGUCCACCACCCUGAUCACCAGAUCCAGUGUGCUGGAAAGAACAGUGAAAGAACUUGAUAACUGUGCAUGAAAAAUAGAAAGUGGCAUCAUUGGUAAAGGAGCAGCGCUUGACAACCAGUAAGACUUAUCAUUUCGACUGGCGUAGUAACAAACUUGGUUGAUAUUACAGUAAGCAAAGGGCAUGGUAUUAAACACAGGAAGACAAGAUCCUGCCAGACCUGAAAAUAAUAACAAAUUAUGAAAAUUACUCCACUUCUUUCUAUGUAUAGCAGACUAUAGCCAGUCCAUAAUUUUGGCAUCCCCUGUGGACAGAGUGGUUCUCUGUCUGACUGACUGUGAAGGACGAGCAAGAAUCCACUUGCAGAUCUAAUAUGGGGGCCUGGUGGUCCUGGGAUACCAGUCUGGCCAGGUGGACCUUACACAUUGGAGAAAAGGAAGCCCUGGUCCCCCCUUUUGUCCUUUCUCAAGACGGAUAUUAACGCUGCCACUGUCUCCUGGAGGUCCUCUUUCACCUUUGAACCAAACAUACAGAAUUUCCAGCCAAAGCUCUCUGUUCAGCCAGGCCGGUCUUCUUCCCCACCGGCCUGUCUUUCAGCACAUCGGAUGGCCUGCUCCUGUGCCUUUAAGAUUUCCUUCUUGAAGAAUGCCCAGCCUCCUGGGACUCCUUUGCCCUUCAGGACUUCGUCCCAUGUGACUCUGUGACUCUGUCAACCAGUCUCCUAAAGAAGCCAAAGUCUGCCCCCUGGAAGUCCAAGGGGGUCCUUUAUCGCCUGGAAGUCCUGGAAGUCCUCGGGAGCCUGGAGGACCUGGGGGACCUCGUGAGCCAGGAGAGCCUUUGAGACCUUUGAUUCCAGGUGGCCCAGCUAGGCCCCUGUCUCCGAUCUGACCUUUAAAGCCUGACUUCAACCCACAAUCCACCGAGGCUACGCAGAAAGGGACUCCCCGGAAUGUAGUGACUGCUGGAUGAGGCUGUCCUCCCAGAAUUGAACAUGGCAGUAGUGUUAAUUGAUAGCUUCUCAGGCUGUGGGCUAAUCAAUGGAGACUGAAGAAUGCACUGUUCUGUCUAUACAAUGUCUUGUCUCAAGUUUGUUAAUGAUGCCCCCAACUAAAACAAUAUGCACAUCAGGUCCCAGUCUGUUAUGUCAACAGCCCAACUAGAAACAACACUGACUUUUUGCUACCAGGCAACAUUUAACAGCUGGGCUCCAGGAGGUCCAACUAACAGUGGUGACCCUGGUGGCCCAGGAAGUCCAGUGUCGCCCUGUGGAAGCCAAAGGAACAGCAAAGAGAUGUUCUGUUCCAUGCAGUCUUUCAGUGAGACUCAGCAUCCUUUUCUGUUGUACUACAGCACUACAUAUUUCUGUACUCAUUGAAGAUGUACUUGUACUAAUACCUGUAGAUAAAUAAAGGUUUGUACUGAGA
Aquila chrysaetos chrysaetos is the source of this 2741-nucleotide RNA transcript. It is a transcript of the gene named rhomboid domain containing 1, with no coding region annotated. NCBI's taxonomy places the organism in Eukaryota, Metazoa, Chordata, Aves, Accipitriformes, Accipitridae. The record is from RefSeq and is a predicted model, not a curated record. The transcript has 17 exons.